GACGAACGCUGGCGGCGUGCUUAACACAUGCAAGUCGAACGAAGUGGCGAACGGGUGAGUAACGCGUAAUCAACCUGCCCUUCAGAGGGGGACAACAGUUGGAAACGACUGCUAAUACCGCAUACUGAAGGAGGUGAUUGCGUUUGAUUGGCUAGUUGGCGGGGUAACGGCCCACCAAGGCGAUGAUCAGUAGCCGGGCUGGGAGGAUGAACGGCCACAUUUGGACUGAGACACGGCCCAGACUCCUACGGGAGGCAGCAGUGGGGAAUCUUCCGCAAUGGACGAAAGUCUGACGGAGCAACGCCGCGUGAGUGAUGACGGCCUUCGGGUUGUAAAGCUCUGUUAAUCGGGACGCGGUACCGGAAUAGAAAGCCACGGCUAACUACGUGCCAGCAGCCGCGGUAAUUC
This 408-nucleotide ribosomal RNA is filed under the name uncultured bacterium. RNAcentral's name for it is "partial 16S ribosomal RNA". It matches the Rfam family "Bacterial small subunit ribosomal RNA", at positions 28 to 526 of the family's 1533-position model. The record is from RNAcentral.